GUGGGUAAAGUUUAUACAAGCUCCAGAUACUGGUCCACUGUUGAAAUACAUCGAAUAGAAAACUUUCAAGAUGGUUGCCAAAAUGAAAGUAGGAAUCUCUCUGCUGCUUAUUUGAAUGUUAAUCCUUGGAUUAUCAGCCACAGACGACUACAAAGAGCCACCCCUUAUUGGCAAUGAAAAGACUAAAGUCUUACGUCGUGUAAAAAGAGGUGGGUGGCAAUGUGAUUGCAGACCACCAUCCCCGGACCCGGGACCUGUAUGGGUGAGAAAGAGACGGUGAGAAAGAGACGAUGAAAACUUUUGAGGAAUUCGCUUUCUGAUCGCUGCAGUAGGACGGAGUGGUGAACGGUUUCCUUUGUGCUAUCUUUAUGAACUUUUAACUGUUCAGUGUUUUCUGUUUUUGGGCCUUAAAUAAACAUGAUAAUUUAUAUUAAAUAAAUAAAUAAAUAAAUAAAUUGCUUAUUGAAUAAAUAAA
This is a long non-coding RNA of Patella vulgata (common limpet), 475 nucleotides long. RefSeq lists it as uncharacterized. The record is from RefSeq and is a predicted model, not a curated record. Lineage: Eukaryota; Metazoa; Mollusca; Gastropoda; Patellidae. The transcript has 3 exons.